Molecule: RNA transcript, 1952 nt
Organism: Anopheles funestus (African malaria mosquito)
Lineage: Eukaryota; Metazoa; Arthropoda; Insecta; Diptera; Culicidae
Gene name: odorant receptor 67d-like
Exons: 3
Source: RefSeq, a predicted model, not a curated record
AAGUAUUCUCAGCCCUUUUAUGUAGCACUAUGAAUUUUAGAAAUUUAUAAACAAAUAAUUUUAUUCCAUAGUUGGUGUCGUAAUUUCGAUGCCGACUGAUUUUAAAUGAAUUAUAGAACGUAAACCACAUGCUGGUAAGUUUUCACAAGAUGUCUUGAACUCACCUUCAAUUAACACAAUUUACAUCCAACACCCUUUCGGCUGGGAAAAUUUGCAUCUGCGGUCUUCAAAAAACCAAUUAAAUUGUCAAACGAAUUAUUCAAUGAACUAUGAUUUGCAUAUCUGGCGUAUAAAUAAACCUUCCCCAUCUGGAGAUGGAAUCAGUUCGCCAUGGAGUAUUUGCGGGUAUUGAAGAAAUAUCGCUUUUUCCACUACUCCGCAACCGACCCGUUAGUAGCCAGCAUGGAUAUUACUGCUGGCAUUGAGACGUUCAACAAAUCAAUGGGAGCAUCGUUUUUUAAGCGCAAACAUUCUUUUAUAAACUUUUUCUUCAUCUUCGGUAUCAGCAACUUGGUGCUGUAUGUAGUGAGCGUGUUGAAAUCGGCAUACGUUUCGCGCCACGAUACGACGAAGCUCAUCUACUGUAUAGCCACUUUCGGGUUUUGCUGUCAGGCCAUUAUGAAAAUUUACAGCUUCAUCAUCACGCGCCAACGUGUAGUUGAUCUCUAUGAGAACAAUCUGCGCUACUACCAAGAAAUGAUGAACCAAAGUAACACCGUCAAGCGUGUUUUGUGUGAUAAUGCCAGCCUCAUUUAUAUCGUCAUCAAAGGGACUGUUUUAAUUUACCUCAUAUUGGUUAUCACUACGAUGACUAUACCGGGGUUUUCUUCAAUAUUUCUGGCAGAUCGUAUACUACCGUUUGGAUUCGUCGUACCUCUCAUCAGUGCUGAUACAUUGGCUGGUUACAUAUGGAAUUACAUCAUUCAGAUCAUAAUGGCUAUGUACUAUUGGAUUAUAACGGUCGGAUCUGAUAUUACUACCAUCUACAAUCUUCUAACUGCCUACGGACAACUGGACGUACUGAUGACAAUUAUAGACGAGCUGGACGAGCAGCUCGAGCGUAAUGAGUGUCCUGAGAAGAUUCGAGCUAAAAUUAUUGAAAUCGUACAUCAGCAUCAACAUCAUCGAUCAUAUUUGCAGCAGUUGGUAGACUUUUUGAAUCCGUAUCACUUUGUUACUCUUGGUUCAACGGUUCCAACGAUGGUUAUUUCUGUUCUUGGAUUGGUUCUGGUGAGUGGUAUUAUUUUGGAUGGUAUAAAAUAAUUGCUGUAAAAUGGGUUUUUGCUUGGGUCCUUUUUCUAGCUGGAUUGGUAUCCUGGGGCCGCAAUCGUGUUUCUUGGAUCUGUUCAAAUAUUUUACAUUUGUUUUCUCGGUACUAGUCUGGAAAUUAAGGUCCGAGUGAGGCUUAUUACCGUUUUGGAAGAUUUUAUUUUUUCAUCGUUUAUUCUUUUACAGACCGAUGCUCUGACACUAAAGGUCGGUGCUAUUCAUUGGAACAAACUUUCCACUCGAGAUAUGAAGUACAUGAACUUGGUGUUAGCGAUGACACAAAAACCGAAAAUGCUGGCGGUGGCCACAUUACCAUUAAACAUAACUGCAUUUCUAAAAAUACAUAAAUUGAUCUAUUCUUUGAUCAUGAUGCUGGAAAAUACGAAGGAUUGAAAACUUGACAGAUGAUUGCUGUUAUUUUAUAUAUUAUUUCACUUUCAGAUUUAAAAUAAUGUCAUAUGAAUUCAUAAAAAGUCAACAAAAGAUAAUGUGAACUUUAAAGAGCUUUAUUGAUAAAAGAUUGUUAUACAGCUGCUUUUAUAAAUGUUAGAACAGUUAAUGUUAUUUGUUUUUUUAAUAAAAAAAGUUUAUUUUACUGAGCAGCUUCUAGUGCGGUAUGACAUGCGCAAAAUAAAAGUAGUUGAAUAUUUGGUUUAAUUAAACAGUCCAGAAUUUAUAAAUUA